GACGAACGCUGGCGGCGUGCUUAACACAUGCAAGUCGAACGAAGUGGCGAACGGUUGAGUACUACGUGGGUAACCUUCCCUCCUUUUUGGGAUAAGCCUUGGAAACGGGGUCUAAUACCGACUACAGGUUGCUGGGCUCGCGGCCUAUCGGCGGGUUGGUGGGGUGAUGGCCUACCAAGGCGGUGCCGGGUAGCCGGCCUGAGAGGGUGAACGGGGACAUUGGGACUGGGAAACGGCCCAGGGGCGGACGGGGGGGAGAAGUGGGGGAUAUGGCAGAAAGGGCGAAAGACUGAUGCAGCGAGGCCGCGUGGGGGAUGAAGGCUUUCGGGUUGUAAACCUCUUUCGCUAGCGAACGGGUAGGUGGAGAAGAAGCGACGGCUAACUACGUGCCAGCAGCCGCGGUAAUUC
This 408-nucleotide ribosomal RNA is filed under the name uncultured bacterium. Its description in RNAcentral is "partial 16S ribosomal RNA". It matches the Rfam family "Bacterial small subunit ribosomal RNA", at positions 28 to 526 of the family's 1533-position model. The record is from RNAcentral.